This 142-nucleotide microRNA precursor is filed under the name Canis lupus familiaris (dog). RNAcentral describes it as "miRNA (ENSCAFG00845024721.1)". The record is from RNAcentral. Lineage: Eukaryota; Metazoa; Chordata; Mammalia; Carnivora; Canidae.
UCUCUGGCCUUCUGGGGCAAUGAGAAUUACCAUCUACAAAGAGUAUUUGGUCAGAGUUAGGGAGGGGUUGAUCGGAUGUGAAGUCCUGGAUGUGAAGGAGUCAGCUCCUCCAGGAGUUGAGGGCAGGAAUGGGAGGGUUCUG